GAUGAAGAACGUAGCGAAAUGCGAUAAGUAAUGUGAAUUGCAGAAUUCAGUGAAUCAUCGAAUCUUUGAACGCACCUUGCACUCCUUGGUAUUCCGAGGAGUACGCCUGUUCGAGUGUUAUGAAGCUCUCAAAACGCAAUUGGCUUAAAACCUGAUUGUUGUUUUGGAUUUGAACUUUGCCGUGUUAUAACGGCUGGUUUUAAAAGUAUUAGCUGGUACUAGAACGAAUUGGUUCUACUCAACGUGAUAAUUAUCUGAUCGUUGAGGACAUUCCUUGCACGAGGAAUGGCCAUAGUAAAUUCAAUGGACUGCUUCUAAUCUGGCUUUAAUUCUUUAUUGGAUUAACCACUUUUCAAAUCUGACCUCGAAUCAGGUGGGACUACCCGCUGAACUUAAGCAUAUCAAUAAGCGGAGGA
This 416-nucleotide unclassified non-coding RNA is filed under the name soil metagenome. RNAcentral describes it as "partial contains 5.8S ribosomal RNA, internal transcribed spacer 2, and large subunit ribosomal RNA". The stretch from base 1 to 120 matches the Rfam family "5.8S ribosomal RNA", at positions 35 to 154 of the family's 154-position model. The record is from RNAcentral.